AUUAAUCCAUAUAUUGUUAAGUAUAAAUAGUUAACUUUGAAAAAUUACAUUUUUCAUUAUUUCAGAUUUAGUUGUUUAUAUGUAGGAUAAGUAUUGGUUUAGUGUAUUCAUUAUAGAUCUAAGACAUGGAUACAGUGUGGUAGCUUUCAUUUAAUAUAAUGACAACCAUAUAUUUCGGGGGACUCAUGAGUAAUAAUAACUACUCAUAUCGUAUUGUUAUGGAAAGAUCAUUCUAAUUUUUCUCCCCCCUCUCAUCUUUGGAGGGUAGUGUACUGCCCCCACGGGGCAGGGGGGUGGAGAAAUGAGUGUGGGUUCCUUUGGAGGGAGAGAGCGAGAGAGAUCCCCCACACACGAAAGAAACAGCGCGGGCAAGUAAUCCACCCUAUCCCCGGGGGGAUGGGGAGACACAAUAACACACUAGGCCCCUUUGGGUUUUGCAAUUGGAAUGAGAACAAUGUACAACCCUUAUCGAUAAACCAUUGGAGGGCAAGUCUGGUGCCAGCAGCCGCGGUAAUCCAGUCC
Molecule: ribosomal RNA, 522 nt
Filed under: Blastocystis hominis
Lineage: Eukaryota; Bigyra; Opalinata; Blastocystidae
Description: partial small subunit ribosomal RNA
Rfam family: Eukaryotic small subunit ribosomal RNA
Source: RNAcentral